GACUGGUCUGAAGGUAGUGAGUUAUCUCGAUUGUUCCCAGUCAGUUACAGAUUGAACUCUUUGUUCUACCCUUUUCUCUCUUCUAACUACUGUACUUGACAAGUCUUAA
Molecule: Y RNA, 109 nt
Filed under: Microcebus murinus (gray mouse lemur)
Lineage: Eukaryota; Metazoa; Chordata; Mammalia; Primates; Cheirogaleidae
Description: Y RNA (ENSMICG00000043777.1)
Rfam family: Y RNA
About the family: Y RNAs are components of the Ro ribonucleoprotein particle (Ro RNP), in association with Ro60 and La proteins. The Y RNAs and Ro60 and La proteins are well conserved, but the function of the Ro RNP is not known.
Source: Rfam by way of RNAcentral